Molecule: ribosomal RNA, 253 nt
Filed under: uncultured bacterium
Lineage: Bacteria
Description: partial 16S ribosomal RNA
Rfam family: Bacterial small subunit ribosomal RNA
Source: RNAcentral
UACGUAGGCAGCGAGCGUUGUUCGGAGUUACUGGGCGUAAAGGGUGUGUAGGCGGUUGUUCAAGUUUGGUGUGAAAUCUCCCGGCUCAACUGGGAGGGUGCGCCGAAUACUGAAUGACUAGAGUGCGGGAGAGGAAAGUGGAAUUCCUGGUGUAGCGGUGAAAUGCGUAGAUAUCAGGAGGAACACCGGUGGUGUAGACGGCUUUCUGGACCGUAACUGACGCUGAGACACGAAAGCGUGGGUAGCAAACAGG